Aethalodelphis obliquidens (Pacific white-sided dolphin) is the source of this 1703-nucleotide long non-coding RNA. RefSeq lists it as uncharacterized. The record is from RefSeq and is a predicted model, not a curated record. Lineage: Eukaryota; Metazoa; Chordata; Mammalia; Artiodactyla; Delphinidae. The transcript is spliced from 2 exons.
GGAUGAUGACUUCAGAGCUCUUUACAUGUUGGAGCUGAAACCAGAAGUCUGAUAUUUACCAUUUGAUCUUCUCUUGAGUUGCAUCCAAUGCAUGUUUUCACAGUUUUCUCUCUUGUUUUGGAUGAGAAAAUCUUCUAGUAGCUUCCAGAGAAGUAUUUGGGACCACCAAAUCCUGAGCCCUCCAUGGAUUCUGCUGAGAAAAUCUGGCUGCUUCUUGGCAAGGCUGCCCUUAGACCUGGGAUGAGAGCUUUGGAGAGUCCCGAGUUCCCUCUUCCAGCUGUGCCUUUUCACAAAGACCAAGAGGACAUGCCUACCCAGAGCCUGAACUUCAUUCUGUCCUUCUAGAAUGUACUUUAAGGGAGAUGGAGUCUUGAAAUUCCCUGUCCAAAUGACCCCAUCCUUGCUUCUAGGGCCUUCGUGGACCUCUUUCCAGGGCUCAUCCUCCUGGAGUGGACAGUGCUGCCAGCAUGUGUACACCUAGGCCGAGGGGUGGCCGAGAGGCAGUGGUUGGUGGGAGGUGUGGACGGAGAAAUGACAAGGCCCCUCCGGUACGGGAGGAAUCGGGGGUGGGAAAGAAGAGACGGGGCCAGGCUCUUUUUGUGAUGCCGUGUUCUGGUGUAGAACUCAGGGACAUCUGAGGACUCCAAUUGGAACCUGGCUGUUACGGGUUGAAUCAAGUCCUCCUAAACGGACAUGUUGGGGUCCUAUAACCCCCAGUACCUCAGAUUGUGAGCUUCUUGGAAAUGGGGUCUUGUAGAUGUCAUUAGUUGAUGAGGUCACAUUGGAGUAGAGAAAGUCCCUAAUCCAAUGUAGUUGGCGUCCUCAUAAGAAGGCCAUGGAAAGACAGAGACACAGGGAAAAGGCCAUGUGAGGAUGGAGCUAGUGAUCGACAAGCCAGGGAAGCAAAGAUCGUGGACCUUCACCAGAGCGAGGAGAGAAGCGUGGACGGUUUCUCCCUCAGAGCUCUCAUGAGAAACCAGCCCUGCCCACACCUUGAUUUCAGGCCUCCAGCCUCCAGAACUGUGCCACAAGAGAUUUCUGUCAUUUUAAGCCCCCCAGUGUGUAGUACUUUGCUAUGCAUUGUCCUUUUAUGUCACCAAGUAGGUAUAGUAGUCAAGGUAGAAGAGAGACGGCAUUUUUCAAAUCCUUUCAAUGAAGUUCAUUAUCUUGGUUUAGCCAUUUUUCAGAGUUAGGGCACGUGGCUUCCUUUGACACUCCUGCUCCGUCCCCACAAAGGAAGAGGGUGAUCUGGCUUCUUGCAUCCCCCAGUUCUGGUUUAGGAUCCAGCUUUAUCCCACCUACCCAGCCAGUCACCACCCAUCCUGCACUUCCCAGCAUUUUCCCACUGUGCUCUCCCCAUGGCUUUUGCUCCUAGCAGGUCUAUACCAGCACCAUCCGAUAGAAUUUUCUGCUGUGAUGGAAAUGUUCUUUAUCUGCUCUGUUCAGUAUGAUAGCUACUGGCCAUACGUAGCUAUUGAGCACUUGAGAUGUGGCUAGUGUGACCUGGAAACUGAAGUUUAGAACUUAUUUAAGAAAAAUGUAAAUUUAGCACAUGUGACUAGUGGCUAUCAUAUUGGAUAGUACAGCUCUAUACUGUAUUAUCUAUACUGUACAAAAAAAAAACCCCAAAAGUUUUUGUUUUCAAGGUCACGAGGGAGGUAAUAAAAGUAAAGGAAUGUGUUCCACCUGCCAUCUUUACACUA